Long non-coding RNA from Dioscorea cayenensis subsp. rotundata (Guinea yam), 2268 nucleotides. RefSeq lists it as uncharacterized. The record is from RefSeq and is a predicted model, not a curated record. Lineage: Eukaryota; Viridiplantae; Streptophyta; Magnoliopsida; Dioscoreales; Dioscoreaceae. The transcript has 2 exons.
UUUAAAAAAAAAGGGAAAUAUUUCAAAGGGGGAAAAUAAACUUUUCUAAAAAAAAAUUUAAUGUGGUUAUCUGCAAUUUCAUGCAUAGUCUUCUUUCUAAUUAUUUUGGCUGCAUAUGAGUUCUUGAUUAUGAAAUUAUUCCUAGUUAGACUACCUUCCAUGCUUUCAAAGGAUGCGUCUUCAACUAUUUAUCUACGUUAGAUCUAUAUUUUCUCUCAUUUAAUGAGUGCACAAUGUUCCCUUUCCUCAAAAUCUUGUAUAAUAUAUAAUUGGCCUCUAUAUUUUCACUCAUCUUAACGAGUGCAUUAUACUCAAUUUGUGUUCUCCAUAUCACACUUGUUAUUAUUUGUAUAAAUUUUUAUAUCUGUUUUGUUUUGCAUGUAACCUAAAGUUUGUUUAUGGCAAUCAGGAUCAAUUCUCUAAUUUGUAUGAUGUGAAUGUGAAUCUAGUAUCUUGUGCAACAUGCUUUAGAGUUUUUUAAGCACACUGCAAUAUUUCAACUCACUUUCAAGUGGUAUCCAUGUAGGAUCUGCAAUUAGUCAGUUUACAGUCUCUGUUCGAGUAUGAGGGUAUCUAUUGUGUUCUUUUUUUUACUUGUCUGUUGCUUGUGAUUUGUGAAAGUUGAAACAGCUAUCAUCCAUUAUCAUUAUGCACAUUGCAUGUUUGUGGGAUUUGAUAUUGUUUCUAACUUGCGAAGAUUAUAUUCUAUGGAGUAGCUCUUGGAAACUAACAAACUUCUCAUGAUAUUUAAAUCUGAGAAUUUCCUUAUUCCAGGUUGCAUCAAUUAAUAGCUCUACAGGAUUUAAAUUAGUCUGUUCCUUUUGAAGUUAUUAUAUAUAUAUAAUGUAUAAAACAUGAGCGAAGUAAUAUCAACGAUUACAAGGGCAAUCCUGCAUACUAAAUGGAGGUCUCCUUAUCACUUGACAAGAUAUGCAUGAAGAAAUUAUUCAUAAUAUAGCACAUGCUUGUGUAGUAAGGCAAAAUUCUUGCAUAUGGCAAUCCAAGGCUAGACCAAAAUUAGUUCAUAUGUUUAUUGGAGUGUCAUUGGAUUGUAGGUUAGAUUCUUGUGUUAUGUGGGAGGUACUCUGCUUGAUAAGACAUUUGGAGCCUUCAUCUUGCAAACAGUUAUGAAGUUGUAAUCAGGCACAACUUGUAUUGUUGGAAAUGACUUUGCCAGUUUGCCUUUCAUUGUUUGUGAUAUUGUUCUUGUCGAUUCUUGCUUAAUGUAAAUUUCAAAUUAGCAAAAGCCUCAAUUGAAGACAAUCUAUGAUCGGGAAUAUUGGCACUAUGUGCGGGUGAUAACUGUCUUCGGCUUUUUUUUUCGCAAGUAUUUUUACAUAUAGUUACACAAUGAGAUCAUAUAGUUUUUCUUGGUGAAUUGAUGAGGAAAAGAAAAUUUAGAAGAAAUCUGCAACCUAAGAACCAUCUAGGAUUUCCAGUUCCCUCACCUAUCACCAGGUGUCAGUUCAUGCACAUCUGAUCAACUUUCUGUUUCUCAUUAUCUCAUUGCAUUUGAUUAUCUGAUGUAUGCUUUGAUGUUUUGCAAUAGUCAGCUUUGCUCCCUGGCUUUAACUCUUAUCGGAGAAAUUUUGCUUUAGGGAAUGUCAUUUUGUGUUCAUUGAUUACUAUGUUUCGUCUUUGGCAUAUCAGUCUCAGUUAUGUCGUCAGGUCUUUUUUUUUCUCCUUUUUUUUUUGUAUAAUGCUUUUUCUCCAUAGAAAGAAUUCAAAGAAAUAUUUUGGCUCUCAGUUGUGUAUUGCCUUUCUUAUAGUCAUUACAGUUAAUUGUGUUUCUAUGAAAUUGGAGAAAAGCUAUCUAUAUAUCUAUUAUCUUUGCAGGUUCCUUGUGGAUUUAUACCAGGUGGACUGCAUUGAAAAUUUCUACAUUUACAACAAUCAUGCCCAUUUGGUUCAAUGAAUGAUAUCAGGCUUUUCAGUGGCUGCAGAUGAGUUCGUAAGUGAGAUAUGGUUGAUGGUGCUUACUAUGUGUGUUCAAGUCAGAGGCUUGCUGAGAUCAAGCCUUAAUGGCAUGUAACAUGUAAGAAUGGCCUCAAGAAUUCAGGACACAGGAUGGAGAAGAAAGGCCAGUGUCCCAAGGAGUGUUGGUGGAGCAUGCUAGAUCUAGAUAAGAACAUUAAUAUGAGAAAAGGAACACCUAGGUUGUGAAUGGCAUAGAUUUCACAUUUACUUUGUAUUGCCGUUUGGGGGAAUCUCUCCCAGUGAAUGUUUUAUGAUUUUAAUUUGUUAUUAUACCUUGGGUUUCUUUUCUGA